RNAcentral lists this ribosomal RNA (433 nucleotides) under uncultured bacterium. RNAcentral's name for it is "partial 16S ribosomal RNA". It matches the Rfam family "Bacterial small subunit ribosomal RNA", at positions 29 to 507 of the family's 1533-position model. The record is from RNAcentral.
AACGAACGCUGGCGGCAUGCCUAACACAUGCAAGUCGAACGAGACCUUCGGGUCUAGUGGCGCACGGGUGCGUAACGCGUGCGAACCUGCCCUUAGGUUCUGAAUAACUCCCCGAAAGGGGUGCUAAUACCGGAUAAUGUCUUCGGACCAAAGAUUUAUCGCCUUUGGAUGGGCCCGCGUUGGAUUAGCUAGUUGGUAGGGUAAAAGCCUACCAAGGCGACGAUCCAUGGCUGGUCUGAGAGGAUGAUCAGCCACACUGGGACUGAGACACGGCCCAGACUCCUACGGGAGGCAGCAGUGGGGAAUAUUGGACAAUGGGCGAAAGCCUGAUCCAGCAAUGCCGCGUGAGUGAUGAAGGCCUUAGGGUUGUAAAGCUCUUUUACCCGGGAUGAUAAUGACAGUACCGGGAGAAUAAGCUCCGGCUAACUCCGUG